Molecule: unclassified non-coding RNA, 236 nt
Filed under: Chalara sp.
Lineage: Eukaryota; Fungi; Ascomycota; Leotiomycetes; Helotiales
Description: partial internal transcribed spacer region
Rfam family: Eukaryotic small subunit ribosomal RNA (bases 1-46)
Source: RNAcentral
AAGUCGUAACAAGGUUUCCGUAGGUGAACCUGCGGAAGGAUCAUUACAGAGUUCAUGCCCUAACGGGUAGACCUCCCACCCUUUGUUAUACAUACCUUUGUUGCUUUGGCAGGCCGCCUUCGGGCUAUCGGCUUCGGCUGGUGCGUGCCUGCCAGAGGACCCCAAACUCUGAAUUUUAAUGUCGUCUGAGUACUAUAUAAUAGUUAAAACUUUCAACAACGGAUCUCUUGGUUCUG